RNAcentral lists this small nuclear RNA (153 nucleotides) under Pogona vitticeps (central bearded dragon). RNAcentral describes it as "U1 spliceosomal RNA (ENSPVIG00000011715.1)". It matches the Rfam family "U1 spliceosomal RNA". Rfam says of the family: U1 is a small nuclear RNA (snRNA) component of the spliceosome (involved in pre-mRNA splicing). Its 5' end forms complementary base pairs with the 5' splice junction, thus defining the 5' donor site of an intron. There are significant differences in sequence and secondary structure between metazoan and yeast U1 snRNAs, the latter being much longer (568 nucleotides as compared to 164 nucleotides in human). Lineage: Eukaryota; Metazoa; Chordata; Lepidosauria; Squamata; Agamidae. The record is from Rfam by way of RNAcentral.
ACUCAUGCCUGGCAGGGGAGAUACCAUUAUUGUAAAUGAUUUUCCCAGGGCAAGGCUCAUCUAUUGCACUCUGGAUGUGCUGACCCCUGUGAUUUCCCCAAAUGUGGGAAAAUCAACUGCCUAAGUAGGGGACUAUGUUUGCGGUUUCCCUGG